GACGAACGCUGGCGGCGUGCUUAACACAUGCAAGUCGAACGAAGAGCGAUGGACGCUUGCUUCUAUCAAUCUUAGUGGCGCACGGGUGAGUAACGCGUAAUCAACCUGCCCUUCAGAGGGGGACAACAGUUGGAAACGACUGCUAAUACCGCAUACGAUCUAAUCUCGGCAUCGAGGAUAGAUGAAAGGUGGCCUCUAUGUAUAAGCUAUCACUGAAGGAGGGGAUUGCGUCUGAUUAGCUAGUUGGAGGGGUAACGGCCCACCAAGGCGAUGAUCAGUAGCCGGUCUGAGAGGAUGAACGGCCACAUUGGGACUGAGACACGGCCCAGACUCCUACGGGAGGCAGCAGUGGGGAAUCUUCCGCAAUGGACGAAAGUCUGACGGAGCAACGCCGCGUGAGUGAUGACGGCCUUCGGGUUGUAAAGCUCUGUUAAUCGGGACGAAAGGCCUUCUUGCGAAUAGGGAGAAGGAUUGACGGUACCGGAAUAGAAAGCCACGGCUAACUACGUG
Molecule: ribosomal RNA, 510 nt
Filed under: uncultured bacterium
Lineage: Bacteria
Description: partial 16S ribosomal RNA
Rfam family: Bacterial small subunit ribosomal RNA
Source: RNAcentral